GCAAUUGGCUUUCUUUUCAUUUCAUCACUGUUUGGCAUCUUUGCACCUUGAUUUAGGGAGGCAAAGAGCACAAGCAACUAGAGAGAGAGAGAGAGAAAUAAAAGGGGGGAAAGAGAAAACACAAAAACAGGUAUCUGCAUUCUGUAAAUGGGUUGCAGAAAUGAAAGUCAAGGAAGACUUUAUUGAUUGUAAGGACAUCCUAAGCUUACCAACACUGUGAGUAAAAACGGACCUAGCUAAUCAAAUAAAUCUGUUCUUGCAAUUAAAUGCAUAGAUAUCAAUGGGAAAAGAAAAUGACCGUGCAAUAAAAAGGUUGGAUGCAGCAUUGGCCACGAUGAAGAAUGCACGUUGCAACCUAAACAAGAAACCAGAAAGCAAUUGCCUUUUCUUUGCCUUUGCCUGGAGCGUGUGGAGUCUCAACAUUGCCUUCUCACUGAGCCGUUAAAACUAGACAAGUCUCAAGGAGGUUUUACUUCUGUUUGAAAACUUCAGUGGGGCUUCAAUAACUCCAUGGGGGGAAAGACAGCCAAACCUGGGACUGGAUCCUGGAAAUCCUUACUCACAUCUGGAUUCUGAAUGAUAUUACUUGGACCCAAAGUCCUCUGGGGAGUGUCACAAAUCUAUAAAAUGUUCCUGAGUGCUACAUUUUGCAUUUCGAUCUCUGAAUUGGUUGACAGAUGAGAAAAUACACAUUCACCCAGCCAGCUCCCUAAUGACUACAGAUGUGUGGAUGCUGAAGUGUGCAAGUCAUUCCAGUUCAGGUUGGCAGUAACUUUAAUUCAAUUUUGUUUUACCUCUGAUCUGCAUUUUUCUGAUGGUGUAAUCUGCCUUAGCUUUGUAUUUUUAUUAUUUCACCCACUUUUCGGUCAGACCACAGCACAUUUUGGGGGUACUCCCAACACAAAGACUCAUGGCAUAUAAAUUUGGAGAUCCAUCCUUUUUGAGAAUGGCAGCAUGUGGUACAAGUGGAGCUGAAAUUUUGUCAUAAACUGAUACAUAUAAUGAUGCCACGUUUCAGAGAGCCACAGUGCAUCUCUGAUGACAUUAUAUUGGCUUAACUGUAUACUGCAUUUAUGUGUGCUAUCAGGGCCUGAUCCAAAGGCCACCGAAGUCAAUAGAAGUAUUUUCAUUGACCUCAAAGAAGUCUGGAUCAGGCCCUAGGAGCAUGUGCUCUUCAGUGUUCUCAAAUACUGCAUAUUACGGGGAUCUAUGAUCCUUUCUAAUUCUUCAAGUGGAAGAGAACUGGAUGGGGUGGUCCAGAGAUGCAGAAUGCCACAUCCAUGGCAUUCUUAUAUUUCCCUCACAAUUGCGCAAAAGCCCCUCUACCGAGUUCUCGGUUGACAUGGGAAUAAAUUAUAAUCUACAAAGGGGAGAAUUUGCCCUGUAAAUUCUUAAAUCAUUAGAAUUAAAUUGUGGAAUGAGGUGACAUUUAUAGUCAAACUAAAUGAAAUCAGACUUCUUCCUCAAACUGCACCUAAUUCAUUCCAUCCACGAGAAGGGGAACACACGAAACCUGAAAGGGUGGAGAAAGCAGAAGAUCUGGCACAAGCGGUUGUAUUUAUAUGUAAUGAAAUCUUGGAAAAAUAAAAAGUGGGAGUAAGAACUACCCCUAAGCAGCUUUAAUUUGCAUGACCAUCAUUUACUGUGCACCUCAUUCUAGAAUAUACUAACCUUGGCAGACUUUUAAAGGUCAUGUUUAUAAAAGAUGAACUGAUUUGAAGAAAUUCUCUGUGUAGGCACUAGAUGAUUUGUCUUCAAGAGAAAACACAUAUGUCCUUGUCUUUCCAACUAUUUUCUUUUCAGAAUUAUUCAAAAAGGACAGAAGAUGGCCUCAAACUAUCAUUUACUAUUUUUCCCCUCAGUCCUCAAACCAUGCAGCACACCUUGGGCCCCUUCAUGGCAUGGAAGGAUUGGGAUUUGCAUCCAUUAGAACUAGACCAUGAACUUCACUCACGCACAGUAGCAGUAACUGAUAACACACAGUCUGGGUGAAUACCAUCUGUACAAUGCAAUAACAUGGUGGUAACACAGAAUUGUUUUGAUUUUACUGAUAUGCACUACUUUGUUAAAGGAGGAAGGAUCUCCCAUGAUAAAUAAUGAUUUACAAAAUGAAGUGAAUUCAAAGCGCACAAAGCACACAAAGAAGGGUAAACACCAUGGUGUAAAAUGGGGCACACUUUUGGGGCAUUCCCAGUAGAAAAGUAACCAUUAUUCUGAGUGACAUUCCCAACAAACAGUCAAAGGAAAAAUAAGCCUUUUGAACAGGGUACAUGAAAGCCAUGAAUCACUAGUGUCUCAAUGACAAGCAGAUGGCCUUCCAUCCAUCCUCCCAUCAUCAGAUCUCUGUAUGACUGAAAUCACGUGAGCAAGGGCCAUGCCAAAACUUGUCACAUUUACUCUUAACAAAACAUAAGCAUUUACAACUCUUCAUAAACAUUUUUGAUGGAAGUACAUAUUCUUCAAAAGGCAGUACUAUAAAAUUCCCUUCAUGAACCAACUCCCAGAAUUCUAAGGACACUGAACAGUCUUUAAAACCCACUCCUUCCUGGGAGCCAUCUAUUAAGGGAUGAAGAAUAAAGAGGUGAAGAAUACCAACAAUGAUUUUCAUCAUGGAAUUUAUGUUGUUUAGAGUAUGUGAGUAAAUGAGUUAGUCACUGUGGCUGAAGGGCUGCACAAGGCCUUAUGCCCUCAAAAUAGGGUUUCUAUUGAUGUAUCAUAAAUUAGUAAGAUAUUUAAGUUAAGUUUAAAUCAGUUAAAGUGCAUAUACUUUAUGGAUUUUCACUAGUCUAACUAGAUUUAAUUAAAAUUAGUUUAGUACCACCAUGCAAUUUUUCUAAUGUAGAUCAGUUCUAAAUAUUUAUAAUUUAAAAUCUAAAUCUAAAUAAAUCUAUAUAUUGUAAAUAUUUAAAUCUGAUCUACUUUAGAAAAGUUGCACCAGUGGUAAUGAACUAAUCUGAGAGCAUAUCAAUGCAGGCUAACUAUUUACUUUAUAAAUAUUCUCUAUAACUAUAUUUAACAGUUCAUUAGGCUAAAGGAAAUAAAAGAUGAAUGUAUUUAUAUAUAUUAGGAACAACUGCAAGUAAGCAAGGAGAAUUAUUUUAAAACUCAGAAACACCAUUUUCAGACCAAAAUAAGGAACAACAUACACACAGUAAACAUGGCCCCAUCAGCCUUCUAUACCAGCGGGCACAGUGGUGGGGGAAGUUGAAUCUCCUGAAGGAGUGCAGCAAAGGGCAAGCUCCCCCUGAUUUCUGGGGCACUCAGGAUAGAAUUCUGCCCCAGCCUUGGGCUGGACUUUGUGGUAGUGCUGAGCCCUUGGUGAGCACACUACUUAGCACUUACCAGCGUGAGUAAGGUUUGCACAAUCAGGUGCUCAGUGAUUUAUAGGUCCCAAUACCCAGUCCCACCAUAAUUCCUUUAGCAGUAGGCUAAAGCAAACCUCCCACAAGCUGUGUCUCCAAUCUUUUAGCCAGUUGAGCCCGCACAAGAACUGCAUGUGGUGGUUUGCCUCAACAAUCCUAUAAAGUCAUCUUUUAGAAUCCCCCAGGUCUGCAGAGCUGAAUUCUGUUAUAUACAGGUAAGAAUGUCUUGAGGAACGUACAGAGACCACUGAAAAUGACACACGUGAGGUAAAUGGUGAGCACUAGAGCUGCUCAGGAAAUUAUCUUAAUUUCCCCAAACUAUUUUUGACCAAAACAUUUUUUUUUAUUUUUGUUGAAUUGUUUGCAAAUUGUUGGGGGUUGUCCAAAAACCAACAAUUUUCCAGUUGAAAAAUGAGAAAAACAUGUUUCAUUUUUUUUUGACAAAAACACAAACAUUUUCUAUUCAUGAAAAUUUCCAUUUAAUCAAAAAGCCAUUUUUUUGUCUAAAAAAAAGUUUGACUAAAAAUGUUAUGACCAGUUCUAGGGUGUGCAUGUUAUUGCUAAAACUCUGAUUCAACCAAGAUUGUUAAGCACACAAGUAGUCCCAUUGACUUCAGUGUGACUCCAGCCAUUCUUAAAGCAAAGCACAUGCUUAAGUGCUUUGCUGAGUCGGGGCCUGUGUUAGCUCUAAUUUGUACUAGGAAUAAUAGUGAUUGCACACUUGGUGGAACGCAUAACAUGGUUCACAGUAUUUACAUAUGAACUGCACUUCUUUUUCUGAUUAAUUCUGGAGACACACCCUAGCAAAGCAUGGGAAACAAUAUGUAAUUGAUCUGCUAGACAGAGUACUCUGAGCACAUGCUUUUUUGGGGGUGAAACACAGACUGAGCCCUGAGAACAGAUAAUAUGCAUACUUUUCCUGAGCUACACAGAGCUCCUCUCAUUGCACAAUUUAGCCUAUGAAUAGGGAGCAAAUUCCAGGACAUUUUUCAAUUCAGUGUUUAUGUUGCCUCUUUAGCAAAUGAGACUCAGAUUUUUUAGAAAAAAAAUUCUAAAUGUUUAUACAAAAACUGUAGGAGCCACUGGAUUAAGUGAUGGGCUCCCCCUGGGGAAAGCCCUGGGUGUAUUAAUUGUUGACAUUAUUUUCAACGAUUGUACUUUGUGUUAAACAAAAGUGUCUGAAGUUCUUGAAUUUCCUCAUGGCCAUCUUUACGUUUGCUUUCCACUAUUCUAAAUUUUAAUUGUUAUUAACCUUCCCUUUUGAGAUUAUACAUUUUGUUCCCUAUUUUAUGAGCUGUAGUAGUCUGAGAUCACAAAAGUAAGAAGUUAUAAAUUAUUGAACUGUAUAUAUGUGUAUAUCAUUAUUUAUCAUAUCGCUAUUAUCAAAUAUAUAACCCAAGAAAAUAUGAACUAUCAGUUUGUCUGACCCUGCUUGAACUGAAUUAAGGGAGUCAGAAAGUCAGAUUUGAAAUUUAAGAAGUGAUCAGGGAUACAUUUAAAAAAAAAAUCUGUUUUACAUAUAACAAACUGCUGUGAACUCAUCUCAGAUUGUGGAUAAACAAUUUCAAUUGUACUGUGUUUUGCAAAGAUCAUUAUGAUAUUUUAACAGAAAUGAAAUAUCUAUUUUUGCUCAUCCCAUAACUCUGAUAAGUAAAUGCAAAAUUAUUUUAAUUAUUGCAAAGAUCAUUAUGAUAUUUUAACAGAAAUGAAAUAUCUGUUUUUGCUCAUCCCAUAAAUCUGAUAAGUUAAUGCAAAUUAUUUUAAUUAUAUGUAUUGAAACUCCAUGUACACCUAUGUCAGUAUGUAUAUUAUAAAUAAUAAAUAAUUGUUACCAGAGCUGGAUGAAUUAUUUAUUGAGGAUCAAUUAUCUGGCAAAUAUAGCACUUUUCUCUGUUUGUGACUUGUUGAAGAGCAAUCUUGUCUUCUCUGAACAUAUUCAUUCUUGCAAAUAUGUAUUGGAUAAUGAAUAACUUUUACCCUAGGACUGUGAACUUCUCACAUAGACUACUCGCUAUUAGUUAUUAGUGGUGUAUGACCAGCCAUCUGGUAUUGUUUUUGCUCCCUGUUUGGAUGACUGAAACUUUGUAAACAGGAGAAUGACAAAUGCUGAAAGUUGAACAUUGAAUAAAAAAUCAUUACUA
Long non-coding RNA from Caretta caretta (loggerhead turtle), 5503 nucleotides. RefSeq lists it as uncharacterized. Lineage: Eukaryota; Metazoa; Chordata; Testudines; Cheloniidae. The record is from RefSeq and is a predicted model, not a curated record.